UACGUAGGUGGCAAGCGUUGUCCGAAAUUAUUGGGCGUAAAGCGCGCGCAGGCGGUUCUUUAAGUCUGAUGUGAAAGCCCACGGCUCAACCGUGGAGGGUCAUUGGAAACUGGGGGACUUGAGUGCAGGAGAGAAGAGUGGAAUUCCACGUGUAGCGGUGAAAUGCGUAGAGAUGUGGAGGAACACCAGUGGCGAAGGCGACUCUUUGGUCUGUAACUGACGCUGAGGCGCGAAAGCGUGGGGAGCAAACAGG
Molecule: ribosomal RNA, 253 nt
Filed under: uncultured bacterium
Lineage: Bacteria
Description: partial 16S ribosomal RNA
Rfam family: Bacterial small subunit ribosomal RNA
Source: RNAcentral